Molecule: ribosomal RNA, 1955 nt
Filed under: Triticum aestivum (bread wheat)
Lineage: Eukaryota; Viridiplantae; Streptophyta; Magnoliopsida; Poales; Poaceae
Description: partial small subunit ribosomal RNA
Source: RNAcentral
UCAUAUGUGGUCGGUCUUAGCCUAGGCCUCCUACGAUAUUAUUCGCGAGUCGGGCCAACACCUGCUAACAGUAGCAAAGACGAGCGCAAAACAAACAGCAACAACGGAUGGAACACGAAAAGACUCUAACUCUAACCCAGUGGUACUUCGAGUUAUCUCCAGCGGCGGCGUCGGCCCUAAGCUUCUUUAGUCGACCAUUACCACUCCGGUCCGAUUCGCUCGAAGGGUUGGUACACGACCAGUUGUAGGAGCUCUGCCACCUUUGUGUCAGCUGCUUUCGUCGAUGAUUACGCCUCCUGUCCGAUUCGCUCGACGGAUUACUAAACGACGAGUUGUAGGAGCUCUCUCAAUCAUGGGAACUACGACAUUCUUGGACGUAGGAAAGCUUCUUUUACGUCUUCGACGGUUGAUACGAGAGCGUCUAGCAUUAACUAGAAUCGGGAACACUAAACCAAGUUUACCUACCACAACACCGACUGCACUGCCUGUUCUAGGAAUCAUGCUCCAGAGGUGUCUAGUGGCAAGCGUUCGACUUCGAGUUUAAAAAGAACCAAGGGAGAGCGACAGAGAGGUAGCCUUUUAGCCAGCCGGAGCGGUACCGCUGAGUCUUCAACCUACGUCGACUCAAACUCUAGUACGGUGACUACCUAUUGUCUACAACGUGACUACGGGUAGCGGACGAGAAACCAGUCGUCAAGUUACUAAAACAAGCACUAACGGUCCUACGUAAACGACCAGAGUGCGCCGACCUAGAUGCUCCAAACCUCUUAGCCUGUAUGGGUUGUAAGAAUCGUGGACGUUCGUCGAGCUCAUGGACAGAAAGAAGCUCACACUGCCCCCCAAGACGAGCCACGACGUACAUCUUGUGCGAGCUGAGCAACUCGAACAAUAGUGGAAACCCCUUAAAUUUUGUCACCACGAACUGACAGAUGGUUUCGAGGUCGCCUACUGGAUGUUAGUAACCGGGACACUACUUUUAGGGAACCAAGAACCAAAACAGGGAGUCGAAACCUUCGAGUCAGAACGAUUACGUUUGGAAAGUCCGUUCUAGGAGUUGAAUUCGUUCGACGAACGAUUACGGGGGUGUCAUUCGCUAAACAUAGACCUGAAACAUUCGCUUUUCUAAACCCAAGUUGGUCUUACGGGGUUUCAGGAACGAGGACACGAACGGUUUGAGGCUAAAGACUUAGACCUAGUCGUGGGGCUUCUUACACUAUAGAGAACCUGUUACAAGCAAGAACUUCGACGUGGUGUGCAUCUCCUCGAGACGUAAUGUCAUACCCUGGUAUUCACGGCUUACCUCAGUGUUUUCUCAAACAGGCUUUAUAGCCUACACUUCACCCUCGGUAGACUAGGAGCAAAAUUCGUGUUCUUAGACCGCUCCGAUUAAUAGAUACCGAAGGUCAGGCUACUGUUAAAGUGCCCUAUGCAGCCCGCACAGUAAGUUCGACGCCACUUGUAGUCCCUCCAUAGGGACGUGCUGUCCUUCCCCACACUUAAAACACGACUCUUCAAAGGAGUGUACCUCCAAGCAGGAAGCUCAAUAGGUGCCUAGUGGCUCCUCCACCUUAACAACUCCUUCUUCUACUGUCGUCGCAGUCGCAGUUGAAGAGGACUAUAAGACAAGGCGAGUAUUCCAGCUCCACUUCUACUUAGAGUUACACCACGAAGAGGACUAUAAGACAAGGCGAGUCUUCCAGCUCAACUUCUAAUUAGAGCUACACCAACCUUCCUGAGGGGCUAGAGUUUCUUAUCAGUUACGAUAACAGGAAGACGUUUUUACAAAGAGCCGAUGGUUAAACAACCUUGUUGAGUAAAUCGAUAAAAGUUGCUACUUUACCGAUUUUAAUCGUAUAUAUACAACACCAGCAGGACAUACACGAAUACAACUUAAGUCAAUUAUAAGUCAUGAUACUUACUACGAGACAAUAAAAAAGAUAGAACAUGAUGAGGCA